Molecule: ribosomal RNA, 269 nt
Filed under: uncultured bacterium
Lineage: Bacteria
Description: partial 16S ribosomal RNA
Rfam family: Bacterial small subunit ribosomal RNA
Source: RNAcentral
CCCGCCGCGACCGGCGCACGGGUGAGUAACACGUAUGGAACCUGCCCGCAGCAGGGGGAUAAGCGGAAGAAAUUCCGUCUAAUACCGCGUAACACCGCGGAGGGGCAUCCCUCGGCGGUUAAAGAUUCAUCGGCUGCGGAUGGCCAUGCGGCGCAUUAGCUAGUCGGCGGGGUAACGGCCCACCGAGGCGACGAUGCGUAGGGGUUCUGAGAGGAAGGUCCCCCACACUGGUACUGAGACACGGACCAGACUCCUACGGGAGGCAGCAG